CCAAAACUCUUUUCUCUUACAACCCCACCGCCGACACCUACCCCCACCAUAUCCCCUCCGAUUUCCUCCAUUACACCACUAAAUCACCACCACUUUCUGCCAUCCGACCACCCACGUCAUCGGAUUCACCCACCCAACACCCCUAUAACUUCACCGCAGAUACCACCAUCCACCAUUAAAUCUCCAUUCCAUCCACCCUCCAACCUCCAUUACACCACCAAUUCCGCCGCCAUUUGCUAUCAUCCGACCACACCUCUACUCAGUUUUCUUCCCGAACAAAACCCCUAAACAAAUAUCAUCAUUAACCCGCUGCAAACAGCCGAUUUGGGGCUUACCUACUACCAAAAUUUCAUCAUUUUUCUUGCAAAUUCAUUGACUCAGGUUUCGAUACAUGAAGUUGCUGAAAAAGGAGCAAAAACGAGCUGAAAUGCUGAAACAUUACGUCCUCGAACAAGU
Molecule: long non-coding RNA, 456 nt
Organism: Helianthus annuus (common sunflower)
Lineage: Eukaryota; Viridiplantae; Streptophyta; Magnoliopsida; Asterales; Asteraceae
Exons: 2
Source: RefSeq, a predicted model, not a curated record